UGUGGGAGCGGGCUUGCUCGCGAAGGCAUUUGCUCUGCCAACGAAAAUGUUGGAUCUGCCGGCCUCUUCGCGAGCAAGCCCGCUCCCACA
This 90-nucleotide non-coding RNA is filed under the name Pseudomonas baetica. The record is from RNAcentral. Lineage: Bacteria; Pseudomonadati; Pseudomonadota; Gammaproteobacteria; Pseudomonadales; Pseudomonadaceae.